Molecule: unclassified non-coding RNA, 344 nt
Filed under: soil metagenome
Description: partial contains 5.8S ribosomal RNA, internal transcribed spacer 2, and large subunit ribosomal RNA
Rfam family: 5.8S ribosomal RNA (bases 1-120)
Source: RNAcentral
GAUGAAGAACGCAGCGAAAUGCGAUACGUAAUGUGAAUUGCAGAAUUCAGUGAAUCAUCGAGUCUUUGAACGCACAUUGCGCCCCCUGGUAUUCCGGGGGGCAUGCCUGUCCGAGCGUCAUUGCUGCCCUCAAGCACGGCUUGUGUGUUGGGCCUCCGUCCUCCUCCCGGGGACGGGCCCGGAAGGCAGCGGCGGCACCGCGUCCGGUCCUCGAGCGUAUGGGGCUUCGUCACCCGCUCUUGUAGGCCCGGCCGGCGCUUGCCGACACAUCAAUCUUUUUUCCAGGUUGACCUCGGAUCAGGUAGGGAUACCCGCUGAACUUAAGCAUAUCAAUAAGCGGAGGA